AGUGAACGCUGGCGGUAGGCCUAACACAUGCAAGUCGAACGCCAGCUCAGUAAGUGCUUGCUCUUACGGGUGGCGUGUCGCGUACGGGUGAGACAUUCAUCGCUAUCUACUUUUUCGUGGGUCUUUAUGUACGAAAACUUACGCUAAUACCUCUUACUUCCUACGGUUGAAAUCAUUGGAUCUUCUGCUCUUGUGCGAUUGAAUGGUCCGAUUUCGGAUUAGUUAGUUGGCCGGGUAAGGGUCCACCAAUGCGACGAUCCGUAGCUGGUCUGAGAGGAUGAUCAGCCACACUGGAACUGAGACAAGGAGCAGACUCGUAAGGGAGGCAGGAGUGGGGAAUAUUGGACAAUGGGCGGAAGCGUGAUCCAGCCAAACCGCGUGGGUGAAGAAGGCCUACGGGUUGUAAAGGACUUAUGUUGGGAAAGAAAAGAAGCAGGUUAAUAACCGGCUGUUAUGACGGUACACAAAGAAUAAGCACCGGCUAACUUCGUG
This 492-nucleotide ribosomal RNA is filed under the name uncultured bacterium. RNAcentral describes it as "partial 16S ribosomal RNA". It matches the Rfam family "Bacterial small subunit ribosomal RNA", at positions 29 to 507 of the family's 1533-position model. The record is from RNAcentral.